UACAGAGGUCUCAAGCGUUGUUCGGAUUCAUUGGGCGUAAAGGGCGCGUAGGCUGCGGGGCAAGUCGGGUGUGAAAUCUCAGAGCUCAACUCUGAAACUGCACUCGAUACUGCUUUGCUUGAGGACUGGAGAGGAGAUUGGAAUUCACGGUGUAGCAGUGAAAUGUGUAGAGAUCGGGAGGAACACCGGUGGCGAAGGCGGGUCUCUGGGCAAUUCCUGACGCUGAGGCGCGAAAGCGUGGGGAGCAAACGGG
This 253-nucleotide ribosomal RNA is filed under the name uncultured bacterium. RNAcentral's name for it is "partial 16S ribosomal RNA". It matches the Rfam family "Bacterial small subunit ribosomal RNA", at positions 524 to 776 of the family's 1533-position model. The record is from RNAcentral.